UCCCCCUGUCCCCCCCCUCCACAAGCUGCCCCCACAGGAGAACGAGCAGACCAUGGAGUACUUCACACAGCAGGUGCUGCUGCUGAGGGAGAAAGCAAUGCUCCACAGCUCUGUGAGGAGGAGAAGAAGCUGCUGGUGGAGAACGCCCGUCUGAAGAAGGACAUCUCAGACCUGAAGACCCAACUACACACCAGCCAGAGGAAGAGGCUAGCUAAAGCACUGUUCAGUCCUGCUCCUGCCCUGCCUCCACAUCUGCUUCUGCUCUAAACCUGCCCGUUCCUCCAGAACCGGUCCUGCCUCCACACCUGCCUCCACACCUGCCCCUGCCUCUACACCUGCCCCCGCCUCCACACCUGCCUCUGCCUCUACACCUGCCCCCGCCUCCACACCUGCCUCUGCCUCCACACCUGCCUCACGGAGAGAGAGAAACAGCCGGAGGAGGAGAGGAAACACAGCAGGCCAGACACACACACACACGUAAACACACACACCUCACCACACACACCUCACCACACACACCUCACCACACACACCUCAACACAUACCAGACAUGGUACAGAGGAUGGAUCAAAUAAAUGUACAACUUUUGAAAA
Molecule: long non-coding RNA, 593 nt
Organism: Osmerus eperlanus (European smelt)
Lineage: Eukaryota; Metazoa; Chordata; Actinopteri; Osmeriformes; Osmeridae
Exons: 3
Source: RefSeq, a predicted model, not a curated record